CAGUAGUCACGAGUUUGAUCCUAGCUCAGAACGAACGCUGGCGGCGCGCCUAACACAUGCAAGUCGAACGAGAAUCCGGGGCAACCCGGUAGUAAAGUGGCAAACGGGUGAGGAAUACAUGGGUAACCUACCCUUGAGAAGGGAAUAACCCGCCGAAAGGUGAGCUAAUACCCUAUACGCUAUCUUUUUUUCGAAAAGGAUAGGAAAGCCGGGUCGAGGACCUGGUACUCAAGGAGGGGCUCAUGUCCUAUCAGCUUGUUGGUGGGGUAACGGCCUACCAAGGCUACGACGGGUAGCUGGUCUGAGAGGAUGAUCAGCCACACUGGCACUGAGAUACGGGCCAGACUCCUACGGGAGCAGCAGUGAGGAAUAUUGCGCAAUGGGCGAAAGCCUGACGCAGCGACGCCGCGUGGGGGAUGAAGGUUUUCGGAUUGUAAACCCCUUUCAUGAGGAAAGAUAAAGUGGGUAACCACUUAGACGGUACCUCAAGAAGAAGCCACGGCUAACUCGUG
This 512-nucleotide ribosomal RNA is filed under the name uncultured bacterium. RNAcentral's name for it is "bacterial SSU rRNA". It matches the Rfam family "Bacterial small subunit ribosomal RNA", at positions 1 to 507 of the family's 1533-position model. The record is from RNAcentral.